ACAAAAAACGUGGGUCACUGUGUCCGGUUCCCAAGCCUGGAGCUGAGGUCCCGUUUUUUAA
RNAcentral lists this microRNA precursor (61 nucleotides) under Ciona intestinalis (vase tunicate). Its description in RNAcentral is "microRNA cin-mir-4105 precursor". Lineage: Eukaryota; Metazoa; Chordata; Ascidiacea; Phlebobranchia; Cionidae. The record is from miRBase by way of RNAcentral.